RNAcentral lists this ribosomal RNA (85 nucleotides) under Lejeunea subspathulata. Its description in RNAcentral is "partial 26S ribosomal RNA". It matches the Rfam family "Eukaryotic large subunit ribosomal RNA", at positions 1 to 80 of the family's 3401-position model. Lineage: Eukaryota; Viridiplantae; Streptophyta; Jungermanniopsida; Porellales; Lejeuneaceae. The record is from RNAcentral.
CGGACCUCAGAUCAGGCAAGACCUAGUACCCGCUGAGUUUCCGCAUAUCAUUGAGCGGAGGAAAAGAAACUAACAAGGACUUUCC